Molecule: ribosomal RNA, 356 nt
Filed under: uncultured delta proteobacterium
Lineage: Bacteria; Deltaproteobacteria
Description: bacterial SSU rRNA
Rfam family: Bacterial small subunit ribosomal RNA
Source: RNAcentral
AACGAACGUUAGCGGCGCGCUUAACACAUGCAAGUCGCACGAGAAAGCUUCCUUCGGGAAGUGAUUAAAGUGGCGCACGGGUGAGUAACACGUGGAUAUCUACCUUUUGGUGGGGGACAACAUCCCGAAAGGGGUGCUAAUACCGCAUAAGUCCACCUCGGUGGGGAAAGAUGGCCUCUUCUUGAAAGCUAUCGCCAGAUGAUGAGUCCGCGGCCCAUCAGCUUGUUGGUAGGGUAAAAGCCUACCAAGGCUACGACGGGUAGCUGGUCUGAGAGGAUGAUCAGUCACACUGGAACUGAGACACGGUCCAGACUCCUACGGGAGGCAGCAGUGGGGAAUAUUGGACAAUGGGGGCA